AAUUGCUAGCGGCGGACGGGUGCGUAACACGUGGGUAACCUGCCCCUAUCACUGGGAUAACACACUGAAAAGUGUGCUAAUACCAGAUAACAUAAGCUUUUGGCAUCAUUAGCUUAUCAAAGAAUUUCGGAUAGGGGAUGGGGCCCGCGUCUGAUUAGCUAGUUGGUGAGGUAACGGCUCACCAAGGCAACGAUCAGUAGCCGACCUGAGAGGGUGAUCGGCCACACUGGAACUGAGACACGGUCCAGACUCCUACGGGAGGCAGCAGUGGGGAAUAUUGCACAAUGGGCGAAAGCCUGAUGCAGCAACGCCGCGUGAGCGAUGAAGGCCUCGGUCGUAAAGCUCUGUCCUAUGGAGAUAAUGACGGUACCGAUAGAGGAGACCCGGCUACUAACGUGCCAGCAGCGC
This 408-nucleotide ribosomal RNA is filed under the name uncultured bacterium. RNAcentral's name for it is "bacterial SSU rRNA". It matches the Rfam family "Bacterial small subunit ribosomal RNA", at positions 87 to 518 of the family's 1533-position model. The record is from RNAcentral.